CAACCUUACAGACCACAUGCAAAAACGAUUUUUUUAAAAGACAGGGUCUCACUAAGUACACCAGGUUGGCCUGACAACAUGACCCUGUCUGACUCUUGGAAGCUAUUGGGAUAGCAAGGAGCAACAUGUCAGCAUUCCCUCUCGUUUUAGUAAUAUAUAUAACUCUGCACCCACAAAAUGUAGGCAGGGACUCCAUUUGGAGCUACACCCAAAGCCCUGCACUGGGAAUUCUAGACAGGGGUUCUAGCUCUGAGCUACUCUCUCAGCCCCUCCCUGGGGGAUUCUAGACAGGGACAUUUAUUUAUUUUAUGAACGUGAGUACACUGUCGUUGUCUUCAGACACACCAGAAGAAAGCAUUGGAUCCUAUUACAGAUGGUUGUGAGCCACCAUGUAGUUGCUGGGAAUUGAAUUCAGGACCUCUGGAAGAGCAGUCAGUACUCAUAACUGCUGAGCCAUCUCUCUAGCCCAUUGAAAUAAGUUUUUAAAACUCUAAUUACAAUGUUGUGCAAAGACCAGCACUGCCUACCCCAGUAGAUCCCAUCCCUAUCAGCUGUCACUUCUGUCCCUGCUCCAGUCCCUGAGCUACUUGCCCUCUGCCUGUCCCUGGAGGUAAUUUCUGCACCCAGGUAUUCACCAUGUGGCCUUCUGUGUUGGCCGUUGUCACUCAGCAGUGGGUUUUGUGUUGUGUCUAAGUAUCCAAGGUGCCAUAGUAUGUAUGCUGUGUGGAGCAUAUUCUACCAUCCAUCAAGGUGUAGUGGGACCCUGCAAGGUGGGCGACUCUCGCUGCUGUUGGGGUGCCCUAUUUUAGACUGUGCAGAUGAGUUCUUUCACACUGUCCCCUGGAUCAGAGCCUGUGUAGACGGGGUGGGCUGUGGCCUGUGAACUUCACUGGAUCCCACCAGAUGAAAGGAGGCAUGGAUCCGUGCCUGAAGGAGAUACUGUAUAUAAACUGACUCAACUGUAAGCCCCCAGAACAACUGUGGGGUGUCAGUUAUCCCUGGGGUAAGUGGACAAGCUGAUGAGGCUGGACUUCAGUGACGGGGAGACCAUGCUGCUGGUAUUAGGCACACCCCUGUUCCUGUCAGGUGUGGUGGGGUGUAUCUUCGAUCCAAACAUUUGGGAGGCUGAGGCAUGAGGAUCACAAGUUUCAGGCCAUCUUAGAUACACAAAGAAAUAACGACACCCAAUAUGCACCUGCCCACAGCCUGCAACAUAUUGGACCUCAGACUUCGCCACCUAGUGCCCUCAUCUAGAAUAUUCUCUGCCUCAUCCCCAUCUCCAGCUCAGUGCCUCAGAAUGAGGGAGACAGUCCCUAGUGGGCCAGGACCACAAGGAUAUCACAUCCCUCAAGCCCUCUCUGUGUAAAAUCCACUCGGCCCCUACUGAAAACCCCGUGCAUACACAGCCAUGUAUCCUAUCAGGAGAGGAGUCCCUGCAGACAGCAGGGGCAUGCAAAGGUCCUGCAGCAGGAAUGAGGUUGUAUGUUUAUAGGGGUCCAAGGAGGCUCUGGUAGGUGAGUGAAGGGUAGGAAAGAGGAGGGAGGCAGGACUGGGGACACACUCCUAUCUGGCUUACAGAGCCCCAUUCAGAUCCUGUGGGCACAGCUGGGUAUGAAUGCCAUGUGGGCAUGGGGUCCUGGGAGCUGGCUGUGAGGCCAGUUCAUGAAUGGUGGAGGGCCCUGACCUGGCUCCUAAGCACUAUUUGGCCUCAAAAGGGCCAUCAGACAGACAAAGCGCAAGGUAGACCACGGCAACUUGGGUCCCCUGUGGCCAAGGCACGCCUGUGUGUCUCAGUUUUCACACAGGAACGCUGUGAAUUCUGGGAUACCAGAACCCUGCACAAGACAGUGCGUGUGGACCACAAACAUUCCCUGACUCCUCCCAAGCUUCUCACUGCACUAGGCCGGCAGCAAAGCUCUCCAGGGAUCCCAGGAGCACGUGCAGAAGCGAGGCCACCCUCCUGGACACCCAGGGAAACUGAGGCGCGCGACUCCACUCCGCGCUGCCAAGGCACAAGUCUCGGAAUCUCUUUCCUAUAACAGCCACACCUGCCUCCGUUUGAGCCUUCGAGCACACAAAUCACCCCUGCCCUCAAUACUUGCACACCUGGCCUGGAAUUUUCCAUCCUCCUGCCUCAGCAGGAUGACAGGUGUGCUACUUUUUUAAUCCAGUAAACUGUUGAAACUUCAGGGCCACGCAUGGCAUGGUGGCAAAUGCCUCUAGUCCCAGCAGAGGCAAACCAGUUCAGGUGUGGCCCCAGUGAGAAAGCAAACCGAGAACUCUUGACUUUUUCAGACCGGAAAGUUCUCUUUAAGGCAUUUGGUGGUGGCGGUGGGUGUUUUUGUUUUUUUGUUUUUUUUUUUUUUUUGGGGGGGGGUAGGUGGAGGUAUCUGGGGUCAUUUUCAUCCAGACAUUUUUAUCCCGGUAUCUUGCCCAGGCUGCCCUGGAACUCACAAUCCUCCUGCCUGAAUGUCUAAUUUGUCAUUUAAUAAAUCAGCAGGUUGGGGGCAUUAAGGAGUCCGCGAGCACAGACUGCAAGGACCCUCCUCACCAGGGACCUGGACCUAAUCAAAUCCGCAAAAGACAGCCCUAGGGGGUUGGGGAUUUAGCUCAGUGGUAGAGCGCUUGCCUAGGAAGCGCAAGGCCCUGGGUUCGGUCCCCAGCUCCGAAAAAAAAAAAAAAGAAAGAAAAAGAAAAGACAGUCCGGGCAUCGUGAGCCCACGCCUGUAAUCCCAGCACUUGGCAAUGCUGAGGUAGGAGGAUUACACCGAGUUCGAGGCAGCCUAGGCUACAAAAUGAGACCAGAAGUCUAAAUAAUCCCCUUCGAAAAGUGCCUCAGUGGUUCCCCAUGACUGCCAGGCCGCACGGCAGGAGGAAAGUGGCGGAAAACGCCUCCUCCUCCUCCUUCAGGAAGCCCUCCCGGCUCGACUUGGGCCGGAAACUGGCUGAACUCCCCGCGAGCUUCUGCGCCUGCGCGCUGGGAGCACCCACCACCGGGCACCCCAUCUCCGGUUCCGCCUUCCCGCCGGCAGGACCCCCAGGCCGAGCCGCGCCCGCCCAGCGUGCCCCGCAACCCGGCUCCGCCCGCGCCACAGCCGUUCCUACCUCUUCCCCCGGCACCGGCUUGGUCGCGUGUCGGUGACGUCACCGCAUCUGCGCACUUAUCUAUUGGUGGCGCUCCGCUCAUGACGUUUCGAGUGCCGCCAUCUUGGUAGAGCAUUUAUGAACAAAAGAGGAGGAUAAAAGCUACACUCUAAAACAAUGACCUCACCAAGAUGGCCGCUGCCCGGAGGAAAGAUUGCGAGGCCGGCCCUAGCCCUAAGCGCGACGGCCCGGACAUGGUUGCCGUGCCGCCAGGGGGCGUCCGUGCCCCACGCGGGGUGUGGGCCUGGCUGCUCCCGGCUCUUUGUCAGGCCAAUGGUUACCCCAGCUCAAAAAAAGUCCGAAGACAUUCUUUGCCCUGUUGGAGUCGGGAAACUGAGGAUCAGAGGGAGUAGAAAUUGGAUUAGACUAAAUGCAACUGACGUAGCGGUAUUUUCCUCACAGGACGAUGGGGCUCGAAGGAGAAGGACUGACUAAAAGUGGCCUGAGCUAAAAGUGACACUGUCUCAAAAUUAACUGAAUAUAGCCGAAUCACUAAAUAAAUCGCAGCUACUCGGUGUCCUCUGCUGCCCGCGUCAGCCCCUCCCUUGUUGUUGAAGCCGAUUCUCACCGUGUAACCCUUUUGCUUUUCUUUACUCACCCCCCCCGCUAGUUUUUUUGAUGCUUCUGUUGCUUCAUUGGUGAUUAAAUUAAUCUUAGUCUGUAAUA
This is a non-coding RNA of Rattus norvegicus (Norway rat), 3810 nucleotides long. The record is from RefSeq and is a predicted model, not a curated record. Lineage: Eukaryota; Metazoa; Chordata; Mammalia; Rodentia; Muridae.